CCCUUAGAUGUUCUGGGCUGCACGCGCGCUACACUGAUGCGUUCAACGAGUAUAUAACCUUGCCCGAUAGGGUUGGGUAAUCUUCUGAAAACGCAUCGUGAUGGGGAUAGAUUAUUGUAAUUAUUAAUCUUCAACGAGGAAUUCCUAGUAAGCGUGAAUCAUCAGUUCAUGCUGAUUACGUCCCUGCCCUUUGUACACACCGCCCGUCGCUCCUACCGAUUGAGUGGUCCGGUGAAUAAUUCGGACCUACGAGACUAGGGGUUCGCUCCUUAUCUUGUGGGAAAGUCUAGUGAACCUUAUCACUUAGAGGAAGGAGAANUCGUAACA
This 327-nucleotide ribosomal RNA is filed under the name uncultured eukaryote. Its description in RNAcentral is "partial 18S ribosomal RNA". It matches the Rfam family "Eukaryotic small subunit ribosomal RNA", at positions 1470 to 1796 of the family's 1831-position model. The record is from RNAcentral.